CGCAUCAUCAUCAUCUUGGGAGAGAGUGAGAGAGAAGAGAGAUGCUAUAGGAGCAGAGGAUGUAGCAUUUGUGAGAUUUUCUCAUUUCAAUUUUCAAAGACAAGACAGAGCUUUUCUUUUAUUUCUUUUUCUUUUUCUUUUUAUUUUUUCUUUUUCCAGUGGCAAUGUGGUUAGGUAUUCAUGGUUUAUUCUUGAGAUUUAGUUUAGUUUUAUGAGUUGCUUUUAUUCUAAUUAGGUUUAAUUUUUUUAUUAAUUUGUGUUAUGCUUUUAUUUAUUUUUUGAUUUAUCAGUAAGGGCUUUAUCGUUUGUUCCACUGCUCAUGUGUGUAUAUUUUGCGAUAUUUGUUUUUGGGAGUUAAGCAUCUUUCUUUUAACUUUUUAACUGGUGUGCUUAUUUUAUUUUGUCCUCUUUGGUUUCUAUUCUUGAUUUAUGUUGCCUGGGACAGUAAAAAAGGUUGGAAUGAGAGACCUGUUAAUGAUAUAGCAUUUAUUUGUUCUUUGUUCUUUAUCAAGCUAUUUAAUUGACUGCCCUUCCAAUUAAAUGAAUGAUUGGCUAAAUUGAAGGCAUUAUUCUGGCAUGGUUUUCAUCCUUUAAUAAUUAGAUUUAUGCUUGGUCAAAAAUCUAGGGUUGUCUGCUUUGUCAGUGCCAAUAUUUUAUGUAUCCAUAUUUAUUCUUCAAGUUCUUUUUAACCUUUGAGCUUUUUUGAUGAUUGAGUUUCUUUUCCGCUUACUUAUGAAUCCUACAUCAGAUUCAGUAACCGAGCACUGAAUUUAGCUCAUUUGGCUGCCAUUGUUUUGAUAUUUUGGUAUUUGGUUUUUGCAGUUGCAUCAAUGAUGGGUGCAAUUAGUUUCGGUAAAGUUCAAAUUUUUAUGCGGGUGUGGCUUCUACAGGACAAUCAGAGGGAAUGAAAAGAUAUUUUUUUGGGUUCUAUUGUUUAAUUCUCAAAAAUUUUUUUAUCCUUUCUUAUGAAGCCUUUGUUAAAUUCAAUAACAGACUUCUAAAUUUAGAGGAUCCUACUUGAAUUGUUUCAUGUUGUCAUCUUUUCAAUGAUGCAUGUAAUUAGCAGUUGAAACACAGAUAUUGGAAACAACAUGAGAAUUUAAUUUUAUCAUCUUGGAAUUAAAGCUGUAUAAUUUUUUAUGUUUGUAUGUUUAAAAUUUUUACACGCCAGCCUGAUCAGUUUGGACAGAACGAUUAGAGGCAAUCAGAAAAGAUUGAUUUGGUCAUGCUUAGACUGAAACUUUAGUUUUUUUUUUUUAAUUUUAUAUUAUUGUUUUUGCCAAUUAAUUAAUUUAUUUUGAUCUGUCUUAUCAAGCUAUUAUUAGAAACUUAUGAGUUAGUGCAAUGACUUUGGUUAUGAGGAAUUCCUUUCAUUUGUAACUCACUCAAUUAUUUAUUGCUUCAAUUUUUUUGCUGGUAGGCUGAUUUUACUGGCAAGGAUUUUUAAUUGUUUGGUUGUUGGGCAUCCAUUUUUAAGGGAUGCUGUUGUUAUUUGAUGUGUUUCCCUAGGAGUUCUUUGGUGGGGGUGAUGUAGUUUUUUUGCCUUCUUUUGUCUUCUUGGAUUUUGCUGGGGAUUCUGUCCUCUUGGUGACAAAAUUUUUAUUUUGCUGGACUUUGAAAGCUAACUUACUUCUAGGAUGUUGUUUGGCCUGGGAUCUUUUUGUUUAUUUGGCCUUGCUUAUCCUAAAUUGUAAAUACAACUUUGGGUACCAUGGAGCUGUGCCGUGUAAGCUCCAUGUUAUCUUUUUUUAAUGACUUAUUUAUAUAUUGAUGACCAAGGUAUGUAAAAAUCAUGCUGCUUAAUGAUAAUGAGAUCAUCUUUGUUUAGCUAAGUGGAUUAUGCUUUUCUUUUACUAUGGUUCUGUUUCCUUAGUACUUUGUGCCCUUUGGAUAGCUGCAUUUAAGUCAUUUGGUUGUUGGUUAAUAACAUUUCACAGCUAAUUUUGCUACUCAGUACAUGUGAUUUGUUUUUAUAAAGUGUUUAUCUGUUUUUAGAGAUCUUUUGUUUCUCUUUAUUUUGUUUUCUUUCAAUUAUACCAUCUAUCCUCAAGUUCUCUAUCAAAUCUAUGUAUUAUUCUCUAUGCUCCAGCUUAAAAUAUUAUUCCACUACAUCACAUAGGUAACACAGACAUAGGAUUAUAAAAAAAAGGGAAAAAGAUUACUUUCUUUAUAGGAUUUAACUUCUUGUUGCUUUGAUCAUGGAUGGCAAAGUCUUCAAGUCCCAGUUGUUGCACCAAUACUGCUUGGAAUAAACAUGGCUUUCUCUUGUUUCUUUCGUGUGUAAAUUUUUUUUUUCUUAAUGACUGCUUCUUUUGCCUGAGUUGUUCUUGGUUCUGAUAAUGAAUAGAGAGGCCUGUCAGUCUCAAUUGCUAGCAGAUUAUUUUUAAAUCUCUUUCCUUUCUUCUACAUCUGCCUAUCAAGCCAUUGGCUCAAUCCAUUUAUCCCUAUAUUUUUAUGCUUCAACAUGCCCAAGUGUAGCUUUAUUUAUCUUGAAAUUUAACCAGGUCAUUGUUCACGGUUCAGCUAAAAAGAUAAUUUACUAGCAUAUUUAAUUUAUACUUAUUGAUGUUUUGACUUUUUUUUGAAUUUACAGGUAUAAAUUAUAUAUCAUAGUUGAAGAUGCCAUGGGCGUUGCAACAUUUGUUGUUUUUGGGUGCUUGGUUGUGGAUCUCAUUAGCCUUCCUACAUCCAAUUUUAGCACAUAGUUCAAAGGAUAGAAAUUAGGUUCCAACAAUCUUGACGAGAAUAUAUACACAAAGAAAAUAUUUCAAGUGAUUCUCAGCUCUAGAAUCGAGUAUGCAUUUGAGAUUUCUUUCAAAGUAGUUGACAUUAUCAAAGACGAUGAUAUACCUUCAGAAUCACAACCGGCUAUCUGCCCAAUAUUUGUAUAGAGCCCACUUUCUAGAAAAAUGAAGGAAGUUGCCCUGAAGAUCGAAAAAGCUCAAUUUAUCAGACAUUGAAAAAGCAAGCCAUUACCAGAGAUCCCAUCUACUCUGACAUCAAGCUCAGAGUCACUUUCAGGACAAGAUAAACUCUUGAACUUUAAGUCAGAUGAAAUCAAUGAUCAAGAAGUCGCGAAUUGAGUGAGUACAAAAUUCACCGUUGAUUAUUAUCCUUGAUACUCUCUAUUGAUGAUUGAUUUCGAGCCUAAAUAAAUAAAAACCAAUCUGAAAGAAACAGUAUCAAAGAAAAUCUGAAAAUGAGUGAUAAAAAAAGAAGGGAAAAACUUGUUACCUUUAGCAAUCAGAAAACGGUAGAGAGACAGAGCGAGCGGAAUGAUCGGUUGAUUAAGAAUUAAAGCCCAAGCGAAUCGAGAGCCUAAAAUGUGUAUGCCAAUGAGCAAUGGGUACGCUGAAACGCAUAAGGGGAAGUUGAGG
Molecule: unclassified non-coding RNA, 3377 nt
Filed under: Hevea brasiliensis (rubber tree)
Lineage: Eukaryota; Viridiplantae; Streptophyta; Magnoliopsida; Malpighiales; Euphorbiaceae
Source: RNAcentral